UCCACCCAGACUUGAUGAUCUGCACCUCU
RNAcentral lists this non-coding RNA (29 nucleotides) under Homo sapiens (human). Lineage: Eukaryota; Metazoa; Chordata; Mammalia; Primates; Hominidae. The record is from RNAcentral.